CAAAGAGCCCCGCUCAGCCCGGGGGGCAGCCGGGGCUGGAGGGGGUGGGGACACCCGUGUCCCCCCCAGCCCCACAAGGCCAACCCCAACCAAGCCUUUGCUCUCCUCCUGCAGCCCGUUCAGGCCGGCGGCGUCCAAUGUGGGGAGGCAGGCGGGAUCGGCGGCCCGCCAAUCUCGGGACAAGGAGGAGGUGGAUGUGUUGGGGUAAGUCCUGGAGCUGGGAUGUCCCCAGUGUGGGAAAUGGGGGGAAAUGUAGUCCCCCCAUCCCUCCUGGGCCUGGGGACACCCCAGUGACCAGUGACACCUCACACUCUCU
Long non-coding RNA from Pseudopipra pipra, 316 nucleotides. RefSeq lists it as uncharacterized. The transcript has 3 exons. NCBI's taxonomy places the organism in Eukaryota, Metazoa, Chordata, Aves, Passeriformes, Pipridae. The record is from RefSeq and is a predicted model, not a curated record.